RNAcentral lists this microRNA precursor (207 nucleotides) under Oryza brachyantha (malo sina). RNAcentral describes it as "MIR812 microRNA precursor family". It matches the Rfam family "MIR812 microRNA precursor family". The record is from Rfam by way of RNAcentral. Lineage: Eukaryota; Viridiplantae; Streptophyta; Magnoliopsida; Poales; Poaceae.
AAUAAGGUCAUUUUACAGUUUUUAGAUACAAUGUUUUGACUCUUCGUCUUAUUUGUAAUUUUUCGUGAUUAAUAUUUUUAUUGUUACUAGAUGGUAAAACAUGAAUAGUACUUUAUGCGUGACUAUUUUUUAAAGUUUUUGCACAAAUUUUUCAAAUAAGACGAAUGGUCAAAGCAUUGGGUACAUAAAUCGAAAAAUAAUUUUAUU